Long non-coding RNA from Symphalangus syndactylus (siamang), 361 nucleotides. RefSeq lists it as uncharacterized. NCBI's taxonomy places the organism in Eukaryota, Metazoa, Chordata, Mammalia, Primates, Hylobatidae. The record is from RefSeq and is a predicted model, not a curated record.
CCAGUGCUUCUAUUAUUUUUUAGUGAAAUUCUAAGUUUCUUUCUCCCAAGCCAUUUUCUAAGAGGGCCUUGAAGUGUCAUAACUUAAAAUAAAUCCAAGGUGUGAAGCCUAGGACUGGCACAGCAGCCUCAUGUUCCCAUUUGCUUGGUCUCCCCCGUGAAUCCGAGGAAGGAGCUGCAAUAUUUCAUCCACAUGCCAGGUGGCAAGGAGCAGGGGGAUGGAAGUGCAGAAGAGGAGCCCUCAACCUCCCUGUCCCUUGUUGAAGAAGCAGAAGAGCUAUUCUACUGGAGAGGAUCGUGUGUUUAACAGAAGAAAAUCUGCUUCAACCUCCAGGUCUCCAACCCAGUAGUGUGAUCGGGGC